UACCCUAUUAUAUUAUUACUAAUUAAGGUAGUAAUAAACUUAUUUAUUAUGGCGGCAUAAUGUAAAAUUAGAGGAACUUGUCUUUUAAUCGAUAAUCCACGAUAAUUUUUACUUUAUUUAAUAGUUUAUAUAUCGUUGUUAAGAAUAUAUAAAAUAUUCUAUUUUAUAAAAUAAAUCAUGAUGUAACCAAUUUUAAAGAAUUGAUGUGUUAUAUUAAAUUUUAUUUAAGGAUAUAUUAAUAUAUUUAUAUAUUAAUUAAGAUUUAAUAGGUAAUUAUAAUAAUAAUAAUUUAUAGUGAAUUAUAAAUAUAUGUGUACACA
Molecule: ribosomal RNA, 320 nt
Filed under: Caloctenus aculeatus
Lineage: Eukaryota; Metazoa; Arthropoda; Arachnida; Araneae; Ctenidae
Description: partial small subunit ribosomal RNA
Source: RNAcentral